AACUGGUUCUUUCUGGAUCUCCCAGGCCUCUCCCACUCCACCCUGAUACCCCUGCCUCUCAUCCUUCCCAUCAGAGAGAGAGAGAGAGAGAGAGAGAGAGAGAGAGAGAGAGAGAGAGAGAGAGAGAGAGAGAGAGAGAAAAGAAGAAGAAGAAGAAGAAGAAGAAGAAGAAGAAGAAGAAGAAGAAGAAGAAGAAGAGAGAGGGAGAGGGAGGGAGGGAGGGAGAGACAGAGAGAAGAGAGAGACAGAAAGAGCAGAGACAGAGACACACACAGAGACAGAGAGACAGAGACACACAGAGACAGAGAGAGGAAGAGAUGGAGAGAGAGAGAGAGAAGAGAGACAGAAAGAGAGAGAGAGGAGAAAGACAGAGAAGAGACAGAGACAUACACAGAGAGACAGAGACACACACAGAGACAGAGAGAGACAGAGACACACAGAGACAGAGAGAGAGAGAGAGAGAGAGGAAGAGAUGGAGAGAGAGAGAGAGAAAGAGAGAGAGAGGAGACAGAAAGAGAGAAGAAGAAGAGAGAGGGAGACGGAGGGAGGGAGAGACAGAGAGAGGAGAGAGACAGAAAGAGCAGAGACAGAGACACACACAGAGAGAAAGAGAGACAGAGACACACAGAGACAGAGACAGAGAGAGGAAGAGAUGGAGAGAGAGAGAGAGAGAAGAGAGACAGAAAGAGAGAGAGAGGAGAAAGACAGAGAGAAGAGACAGAGACAUACACAGAGAGACAGAGACACACACAGAGACAGAGAGAGACAGAGACACACAGAGACAGAGAGAGAGAGAGGAAGAGAUGGAGAGAGAGAGAGAAAGAGAGAGAAAGGAGACAGAAAGAGAGAAGAAGAAGAGAGAGGGAGAGGGAGGGAGGGAGAGACAGAGAGAGGAGAGAGACAGAAAGAGCAGAGACAGAGACACACAGAGACAGAGAGAGAGAGAGGAAGAGAUGGAGAGAGAGAGAGAAAGAGAGAGAAAGGAGACAGAAAGAGAGAAGAAGAAGAGAGAGGGAGAGGGAGGGAGGGAGAGACAGAGAGAGGAGAGAGACAGAAAGAGCAGAGACAGAGACACACAGAGACAGAGACAGAGAGAGGAAGAGAUGGAGAGAGAGAGAGAGAAGAGAGACAGAAAGAGAGAGGAGAAAGACAGAGAGAAGAGACAGAGACACA
Molecule: long non-coding RNA, 1173 nt
Filed under: Phascolarctos cinereus (koala)
Lineage: Eukaryota; Metazoa; Chordata; Mammalia; Diprotodontia; Phascolarctidae
Description: lncRNA (ENSPCIG00000032641.1)
Source: RNAcentral